RNAcentral lists this ribosomal RNA (529 nucleotides) under uncultured Ascomycota. RNAcentral's name for it is "LSU rRNA". It matches the Rfam family "Eukaryotic large subunit ribosomal RNA", at positions 704 to 1236 of the family's 3401-position model. Lineage: Eukaryota; Fungi; Ascomycota. The record is from RNAcentral.
AAGCCCGAGCGCGUAUUGAAAGUGAACGGAGGUGGGAACCCGCAAGGGUGCACCAUCGACCGAUCCUGAUGUCUUCGGAAGGAUUUGAGUAAGAGCAUGGCUGUUGGGACCCGAAAGAUGGUGAACUAUGCUUGAAUAGGGUGAAGCCAGAGGAAACUCUGGUGGAGGCUCGCAGCGGUUCUGACGUGCAAAUCGAUCGUCAAAUUUGGGCAUAGGGGCGAAAGACUAAUCGAACUAUCUAGUAGCUGGUUCCUGCCGAAGUUUCCCUCAGGAUAGCAGUAACGUAUUCAGUUUUAUGAGGUAAAGCGAAUGAUUAGAGGCCUGGGGGUUGAAACAACCUUCACCUAUUCUCAAACUUUAAAUAUGUAAGAAGUCCUUGUUACUUAAUUGAACGUGGACAGUUGAAUGAAACGUUAUUAGUGGGCCAUUUUUGGUAAGCAGAACUGGCGAUGCGGGAUGAACCGAACGAGGGGUUAAAGUGCCGGAAUAUACGCUCAUCAGACACCACAAAAGGUGUUGGUUCAUCUAG